RNAcentral lists this ribosomal RNA (408 nucleotides) under Triticum aestivum (bread wheat). RNAcentral describes it as "partial small subunit ribosomal RNA". The record is from RNAcentral. Lineage: Eukaryota; Viridiplantae; Streptophyta; Magnoliopsida; Poales; Poaceae.
AUGCUUCUGCGAGAAGGACGAUCUGCUGCUCGCAAUCGACCGCGAGGCGGUAUUCAGUACGCAGACGACCCUUGUGGCGCCAACUACCCACUGAUGCAGAAGAUGCAAGCUGUUCUCGUGGACCACGCCCUGGCCAAUGGUGAUGCCGAGCAUGAUGUGGAGACGUUGGUUUUUGCCAAACUUUCCAUGUUUGAGCAGGAGCUCUGUGUUUUGCUGCCGAAGGAGGUCGAGGCCGCCUUGAGUGCUGUGGAGAAUGGCACCGCUGCGCAGCAGAACCGCAUCACCGAGUGCCGGUCGUACCCGCUCUACCGGUUCGUCCGCAAUGAGCUUGGGAUUGAGUACUUGACGGGGGAGAAGACGCGAUCUCCUGGCGAAGAGGUGGACAAGGUGUUCAUCGCCAUGAACUAG